GCCCUGCUGGCGCAAUCGGUAGCGCGCAAGACUUCUACGUAAAUUGGAGUUAAUCUUGAGGUUGCAAGUUCGAGCCUUGCGUAGGGUG
Molecule: non-coding RNA, 88 nt
Organism: Taxawa tesnikishii (nom. ined.)
Lineage: Eukaryota; Fungi; Ascomycota; Dothideomycetes; Dothideales
Source: the annotation of a GenBank genome assembly